Molecule: transfer RNA, 87 nt
Filed under: Bacillota bacterium
Lineage: Bacteria; Bacillati; Bacillota
Also listed under: 1 other name
Description: Firmicutes bacterium (anaerobic digester metagenome) tRNA-Ser
Rfam family: tRNA
About the family: Transfer RNA (tRNA) molecules are approximately 80 nucleotides in length.
Source: RNAcentral
GGAGGGGUGUCCGAGCGGUUUAAGGAGCUGGUCUUGAAAACCAGUGACUCGCGAGAGCCGUGGGUUCGAAUCCCACCCCCUCCGCCA